This 83-nucleotide microRNA precursor is filed under the name Dasypus novemcinctus (nine-banded armadillo). Its description in RNAcentral is "miRNA (ENSDNOG00000028298.1)". The record is from RNAcentral. Lineage: Eukaryota; Metazoa; Chordata; Mammalia; Cingulata; Dasypodidae.
UGUGUGCAUGUCCUCUGAAGAUGCAUGUGUACAUGUGUGUGCAUGUGCAUGUACAUACAUACACACAGACCCAUAAACAUGCA